RNAcentral lists this ribosomal RNA (253 nucleotides) under uncultured bacterium. RNAcentral's name for it is "partial 16S ribosomal RNA". It matches the Rfam family "Bacterial small subunit ribosomal RNA", at positions 524 to 776 of the family's 1533-position model. The record is from RNAcentral.
UACAGGGGGGGCAAGCGUUGUUCGGAAUUACUGGGCGUAAAGGGCUCGUAGGCGGCCAACUAAGUCACACGUGAAAUCCCCAGGCUUAACCUGGGAACUGCGUGUGAUACUGGAUGGCUUGAAUUCGGGAGAGGGAUGCAGAAUUCCAGGUGUAGCGGUGAAAUGCGUAGAUAUCUGGAGGAAUACCGGUGGCGAAGGCGGCAUCCUGGACCGAGAUUGACGCUGAGGCGCGAAAGCCAGGGGAGCAAACGGG